RNAcentral lists this transfer RNA (75 nucleotides) under Candidatus Doudnabacteria bacterium RIFCSPHIGHO2_01_FULL_45_18. Its description in RNAcentral is "tRNA-Arg". It matches the Rfam family "tRNA". From Rfam's summary of the family: Transfer RNA (tRNA) molecules are approximately 80 nucleotides in length. Their secondary structure includes four short double-helical elements and three loops (D, anti-codon, and T loops). Lineage: Bacteria; Candidatus Doudnaibacteriota. The record is from RNAcentral.
GCUCUCGUCGUUCAAUGGAUAGGACUCAAGCUUGCGGAGCUUGUAAUGUUGGUUCGAUUCCAACCGAGAGCACCA